This is a long non-coding RNA of Vanessa atalanta (red admiral), 419 nucleotides long. RefSeq lists it as uncharacterized. Lineage: Eukaryota; Metazoa; Arthropoda; Insecta; Lepidoptera; Nymphalidae. The record is from RefSeq and is a predicted model, not a curated record. The transcript has 2 exons.
UUGAAUACCGGAUAAACUGCAUUCAAAAACACAAAAUUUAUUAUAGUACGUUUUGCGUCGGGUCAGUAUACGAGUAUUUAACAAAGCGAAACCUGUUCAAAUGUGAUCUGCGCAGUGACUUGCCAAGACUACAGGUGUAAAGUUGUUUUAACAACAUAAGUUCAAUAUUGGAGAAAUAAAAUUAUGUUUGCUCUACAAAAAUGUUUGCUAAGUAUACUGAUGAUCGUCUGUAUUCUUCUAUUGGUGGAGUCAGCAACCCGAGUAGUCGGCUCAGAUAAGUGUCCUGAAGGCCAAAUACUUGUAAAAAUAGGUGAUAUCCGAAAAUGCGUCCCACAAGCAUCAAAAUCAUAACACAAGGACAAUAUAUUGUAAACAAUAACAGUGCAGAUAUUGUUAAUAUAGCCAAAAAGCAAUCGUAA